CAAUAGCGUAUAUUUAAGUUGUUGCAGUUAAAAAGCUCGUAGUUGGAUUUCGGUUAAGAGCGACCGGUCCGCCGUUUGGUGUGCACUGGUUGGUUUUAACUUCCUGUAGAGGACGUGCUCUGGUUUAACGACCUGGACUCGGAGUCUACGUGGUUACUUUGAAAAAAUUAGAGUGUUCAAAGCGGGCUUACGCUUGAAUAUUUCAGCAUGGAAUAACACUAUAGGACUCCUGUCCUAUUUCGUUGGUCUCGGGACGGGAGUAAUGAUUAAGAGGAACAGUUGGGGGCAUUCGUAUUUCAUUGUCAGAGGUGAAAUUCUUGGAUUUAUGAAAGACGAACUUCUGCGAAAGCAUUUGCCAAGGAUGUUUUCAUUAA
RNAcentral lists this ribosomal RNA (374 nucleotides) under uncultured eukaryote. RNAcentral's name for it is "partial 18S ribosomal RNA". It matches the Rfam family "Eukaryotic small subunit ribosomal RNA", at positions 592 to 976 of the family's 1831-position model. The record is from RNAcentral.